Pangasianodon gigas (Mekong giant catfish) is the source of this 72-nucleotide non-coding RNA. The record is from the annotation of a GenBank genome assembly. Lineage: Eukaryota; Metazoa; Chordata; Actinopteri; Siluriformes; Pangasiidae.
AUAGUACGGCUGAUAGUACGGCGGAUACUACGGCUGAUACUACGGCUGAUACUACGGCUGAUAGUAUGGUUG